AGUUUGAUCCUGGCUCAGGACGAACGCUGGCGGCGUGCCUAAUACAUGCAAGUCGAACGCUUUUUCUUUCACCGGAGCUUGCUCCACCGAAAGAAAAAGAGUGGCGAACGGGUGAGUAACACGUGGGUAACCUGCCCAUCAGAAGGGGAUAACACUUGGAAACAGGUGCUAAUACCGUAUAACACUAUUUUCCGCAUGGAAGAAAGUUGAAAGGCGCUUUUGCGUCACUGAUGGAUGGACCCGCGGUGCAUUAGCUAGUUGGUGAGGUAACGGCUCACCAAGGCCACGAUGCAUAGCCGACCUGAGAGGGUGAUCGGCCACACUGGGACUGAGACACGGCCCAGACUCCUACGGGAGGCAGCAGUAGGGAAUCUUCGGCAAUGGACGAAAGUCUGACCGAGCAACGCCGCGUGAGUGAAGAAGGUUUUCGGAUCGUAAAACUCUGUUGUUAGAGAAGAACAAGGAUGAGAGUAAAACGUUCAUCCCUUGACGGUAUCUAACCAGAAAGCCACGGCUAACUACGUGCCAGCAGCCGCGGUAAUACGUAGGUGGCAAGCGUUGUCCGGAUUUAUUGGGCGUAAAGCGAGCGCAGGCGGUUUCUUAAGUCUGAUGUGAAAGCCCCCGGCUCAACCGGGGAGGGUCAUUGGAAACUGGGAGACUUGAGUGCAGAAGAGGAGAGUGGAAUUCCAUGUGUAGCGGUGAAAUGCGUAGAUAUAUGGAGGAACACCAGUGGCGAAAGCGGCUCUCUGGUCUGUAACUGACGCUGAGGCUCGAAAGCGUGGGGAGCGAACAGGAUUAGAUACCCUGGUAGUCC
This 814-nucleotide ribosomal RNA is filed under the name Enterococcus gallinarum. Its description in RNAcentral is "bacterial SSU rRNA". It matches the Rfam family "Bacterial small subunit ribosomal RNA", at positions 10 to 796 of the family's 1533-position model. Lineage: Bacteria; Bacillati; Bacillota; Bacilli; Lactobacillales; Enterococcaceae. The record is from RNAcentral.